UGGGGGUGCUUGAUUCGCGAUCAGAAUCAGAAUCAGAAUAGGAAUCGAAAUAGAUUGGAAUGGGAAUCAGAAUGCCCAAAUCCCUCAAAGUAUUUGGUUCAUGAUUGGAAUCAGAAUAAAAAUUUGAAUCCAUAGGACAGAGUAGGGAUUGAGUUUUGGGAGUGCUUAGUUGGGGAGAGUGGGGGUCUAGAAUCAGAAUGGGAAUGGAUG
Molecule: long non-coding RNA, 210 nt
Filed under: Elaeis guineensis (African oil palm)
Lineage: Eukaryota; Viridiplantae; Streptophyta; Magnoliopsida; Arecales; Arecaceae
Description: long non-coding RNA (EGUI_LNC031977)
Source: RNAcentral